AGUGAACGCUGGCGGUAGGCCUAACACAUGCAAGUCGAACGGCAGCACAGUAAGAGCUUGCUCUUACGGGUGGCGAGUGGCGGACGGGUGAGGAAUACAUCGGAAUCUACUUUUUCGUGGGGGAUAACGUAGGGAAACUUACGCUAAUACCGCAUACGACCUACGGGUGAAAGCAGGGGAUCUUCGGACCUUGCGCGAUUGAAUGAGCCGAUGUCGGAUUAGCUAGUUGGCGGGGUAAAGGCCCACCAAGGCGACGAUCCGUAGCUGGUCCGAGAGGAUGAUCAGCCACACUGGAACUGAGACACGGUCCAGACUCCUACGGGAGGCAGCAGUGGGGAAUAUUGGACAAUGGGCGCAAGCCUGAUCCAGCCAUACCGCGUGGGUGAAGAAGGCCUUCGGGUUGUAAAGCCCUUUGUUGGGAAAGAAAAGCAGCAGGUUAAUACCCCGCUGUUCUGACGGUACCCAAAGAAUAAGCACCGGCUAACUUCGUG
This 491-nucleotide ribosomal RNA is filed under the name uncultured bacterium. RNAcentral's name for it is "partial 16S ribosomal RNA". It matches the Rfam family "Bacterial small subunit ribosomal RNA", at positions 29 to 507 of the family's 1533-position model. The record is from RNAcentral.